AACUGUAUAAUAAUGGUAAAACACGUGUUCAAAAAAUAAAUGCCUAGGCAUCCAUGUGCCCUGAAGCAGCUAGUUUUUAAGCACUAGAGACAAUUUCUUAAAGAAGUAGAACAUAUCUCAUGCAAAGUUUUCGAAAUCAAAUUUAAGGAAGACGACAUGAAUACAACGGAAUGUGUGUGCUAUGUUCUAGCAUCGCUGACAG
Molecule: non-coding RNA, 202 nt
Organism: Schizosaccharomyces pombe (fission yeast)
Lineage: Eukaryota; Fungi; Ascomycota; Schizosaccharomycetes; Schizosaccharomycetales; Schizosaccharomycetaceae
Source: the annotation of a GenBank genome assembly